Macaca mulatta (Rhesus monkey) is the source of this 1571-nucleotide long non-coding RNA. RefSeq lists it as uncharacterized. The record is from RefSeq and is a predicted model, not a curated record. Lineage: Eukaryota; Metazoa; Chordata; Mammalia; Primates; Cercopithecidae.
CCCACGCCUUCCGUAGCACGAGCUUGAAUCAUUUACUAUGAAACCGGUGACUAAGGGAGAUACAGCGUGUUGAACCACUGAAGCACGCCCCCCCACACACACCAGCCAGAAAAGGGAUACCCCGUCGGCUCUGGACCUGGCAAAUGUACCUGGGCUCCCCCUGGAGGCCACAUUCUCCGAGGUCCCCUUUCGGUCCCCAGUGUCCCUCAGGUAUUCCGUUUUAAUCCCGGAGAACUGAUACACCCUAGUGCUCUGAAACUUGGCCUGUGCUCGAGGCGGCAACCCCUGCCCCUCUGCCUGGCGACGCUUGAACACAUCCGUCUGGCCAGGUCCCCAUUCACUGGCCAAGAGUGUAGCAUUGAACAUGGGGCACUGGGGCGGGGGUGCACUCCACGCUGACACCACACCCCACCCCUUAACUUGCUGACCAGGGAUAAUCGCUUCCUUUCAUCGAUUCACAGCGUUAGAAAAAUGCAGCGUUGAGAGGCAGCGCGGAGGUCAACUGGACCAUCAUCCUUAGUUUGCAGGGAAGAAAACUGAGACCUGGAAAGAUGAAGCAGUUGUUCCAAAGGCUGCUCCCAGUACUCAAGGACUUGGAGCACACUUGGGGAGAUUCUCACUGUUGUAUUCCCAUUCCUCACUUUUCAGGAGGCCUGAACUCUCAAACUCCGAAUCUGAUUUCCACUCUCCCAGGAAGGCUAUGGAAAUAACGGAAAGUUCCUUGCAGAUUCUCACUGAGCCUCUCCCCAGGCCCCACCCUUUGGCCCUGUGUGUCUGCGAGUAGGAAUGCGCAUUGCUAGCUACUUUCGAUGCAAUGAACCUGGAAGAUAUUUUGUAUGGACUGAAUAACAGGUUGAGGAAGGCAGAACAGUGCCUUCAGGUCAGUUCCUGGUUCAAAACCGGCCUCUGCCACUUGCUCUUAGAGGUAAAGAGAGCAGGGCCUGCCCUGUUCUUCGCUUGCAGGACCAUUUGUUCAGGCAGCUUUUGCAGGGACUCGUAUUCCGAAAGGAGGGUCUAUCCAGGAGCUUGAGAAGGAGAGCACUCAGCCACGAGAGGUGGAUUGUCAAUACAGGAGUCCAUACUGACUUUGAAUCCCUAAUUUUGGCCUGUAUUCUUCUUCCUCUCUGAACCAUCUUCUUGGAAGUCACUGCAUCGAGAGUGCCAGAAAAACAUCCCAAGACCCACACAGGGUUGUGCCUCAUAGUGGAUGUUUUGGCCACUGGACAUCAGAACCACAUUUUGAGUUUGAAGAAUAUUCUACAUGGUGAGCCUUGGUGGGAAGAAAAGAAUAUCCCUUCCUUAUAGAAGCUGAAAUUACAGACUCUUGCUUUCCUUGUCAGACUUAAAAGCUAGUGUAGCUAGAGUUAAAUACAGGGCACAUUGUCUCUGGAGACUGCAGCUUUAGUGGUGGGUACACAAUUCAGUUCCUGACCCAGGAAGUGGCACAUUAGGGCAGGCAGUGAGGUUGGUUGUGGUAUAAUUGAGUUCCUGGUUCAGAAGUGACAACUGUACACAUAGGAUGUCUAGGGUUUGGUGAAAGCAAUGGUAUUGAAAGUGGUUUUCUCAUCAAA